Non-coding RNA from Otolemur garnettii (small-eared galago), 113 nucleotides. The record is from Rfam. NCBI's taxonomy places the organism in Eukaryota, Metazoa, Chordata, Mammalia, Primates, Galagidae.
UGUGCUCGCCUGACACAUCUGACACACUGCCGUGGGCACCUGGCUGAGGGUGGCAGAGGCACUCGGCUAACCCAAAGUGACACAUGCCUGGUAGGAUGUUCAGUCUCUACAGC